CAGGGAAUAGUUUAAAUAGAACUUCAACUUUGGGUG
RNAcentral lists this transfer RNA (36 nucleotides) under Moschus berezovskii (Chinese forest musk deer). RNAcentral describes it as "partial tRNA-Pro". The record is from RNAcentral. Lineage: Eukaryota; Metazoa; Chordata; Mammalia; Artiodactyla; Moschidae.